CCUUAUCUAGGCCUUAAAGAGACACCUCCAAAGAUGAUGCCACCCUUCCAGCCAUGGCUCUCGACUUGAAACAUGGCGAACUCAACCUUUCCCGUCAUUUUGAGUUCUCCACCAUGGAUCUCUUGCCACUCGUUGCUUCUCCUCCUGUAUGGCUCCAACAUCACACUUUUCUGCUGCCUGUGCCCGUCUGGGGUGAUGAGUUCAAAGAUGACGGGGGCAUUGCUCCACCCAAAGGCAUCGACCUUAAACCUGAGGUGGUAGAUGAUCUCAUAGCGUCCGGACCCACUGAGUCGAGGCUGCUUGUGCACUGCCGAGUCCAGACUCCCUCUUGCUUCGAGCCAAUUCACCUGAAUCAGCUCUGCAGCAGCGUCAAAGCUAUGGCAUCCAACAAGAUGAACCAACACAGGUCAGUAAGCAUCAUGGAAUAAGAUUUAUUAUCUAUCUAUCUCUCUCACGAGAGCAUUUCGUAGUUUGUGGCCUUUUUGAUAAGACUAUGUAUGAUGAGCUCAUCGGAUGAGUUGAUAGCAUGCAUGGUGUUAAGAGUGACAGAACAAAAACAAAAAAAAUGCUACCUCAUGUCAUCUUUGGAGAAGGCUUUGGGUAGCUCAUUCUUGGAAAGCGGAAUCCACUUCCAGAAUCUCGCAUCGUUGGCCCAAGUUAUGUUCAUGGCUU
Molecule: long non-coding RNA, 672 nt
Filed under: Musa acuminata (dwarf banana)
Lineage: Eukaryota; Viridiplantae; Streptophyta; Magnoliopsida; Zingiberales; Musaceae
Description: long non-coding RNA (MACU_LNC007016)
Source: RNAcentral